AAACCAACAGGGAUUACCUUAGUAACGGCGAGUGAAGCGGUAAAAGCUCAAAUUUGAAAACCCAUUGGGUGUUGUAAUUUGAAGGUUUGACUUUAGGGCCACGGACCAGCAAGUCCAUUGGAACAUGGCGCCAUAGAGGGUGACAGCCCCGUUUGGUCUUGGCCCUAUGCAAAGUCUCUCCAAAGAGUCGAGUUGUUUGGGAAUGCAGCUCUAAGUGGGUGGUAAAUUCCAUCUAAAGCUAAAUAUUGGCGAGAGACCGAUAGCGAACAAGUACAGUGAUGGAAAGAUGAAAAGCACUUUGAAAAGAGAGUGAAACAGUACGUGAAAUUGUUGAAAGGGAAGGGCUUGCAAGCAGACACGAUUUCUUCGGAAAUUGGGCCAGCAUCGGUUGGAUGGGGUAGAUAAAAGCAUAGAAAUGUGGCCCAGUCCUUUUGGGCUGGGUGUUUAUAGUCUGUGUUAAUAUACCCACGUCCGACCGAGGCCUGCGUUCUACAACAAGGAUGCUGGCGUAUAUGGUUGCAAGUCG
Molecule: ribosomal RNA, 526 nt
Filed under: Metschnikowia sp. (in: budding yeasts & allies)
Lineage: Eukaryota; Fungi; Ascomycota; Pichiomycetes; Serinales; Metschnikowiaceae
Description: Metschnikowia sp. (in: Fungi) partial large subunit ribosomal RNA
Rfam family: Eukaryotic large subunit ribosomal RNA
Source: RNAcentral